GCCGAGCUCAAUAGCGUGAGCUUGUAACCCUAGCGGGGGCCUGAGAGUGGUUGGAUAAUGGGUUAGCACUGAAAGGUUGGGUUGAGUGGUGCAGUUUACUGACCUGACUCGCCCAUUCCAAAUUGGGAGUUUGGCUGUGUGACCCAGGCGAAGGCCUGAGCCAUGUGGCUCCUAAAGUAGAGGGCAAUGCGUCAGGCUGGUUCCACAGAGCAACGACUACCUCUCGCUCUUGAUGGUGGAAGGACUACGGUUCGGGGCACCCUUCACCCGAUAACACCCUAAGAGCUGGUCUCCUUUGAACAACCACUUUU
This 311-nucleotide signal recognition particle RNA is filed under the name Macleaya cordata. Its description in RNAcentral is "Plant signal recognition particle RNA". It matches the Rfam family "Plant signal recognition particle RNA". The record is from Rfam by way of RNAcentral. Lineage: Eukaryota; Viridiplantae; Streptophyta; Magnoliopsida; Ranunculales; Papaveraceae.